RNAcentral lists this ribosomal RNA (458 nucleotides) under Enterobacteriaceae bacterium Z10_17. Its description in RNAcentral is "bacterial SSU rRNA". It matches the Rfam family "Bacterial small subunit ribosomal RNA", at positions 21 to 472 of the family's 1533-position model. The record is from RNAcentral. Lineage: Bacteria; Pseudomonadati; Pseudomonadota; Gammaproteobacteria; Enterobacterales; Enterobacteriaceae.
UGCUCAGAUUGAACGCUGGCGGCAGGCCUAACACAUGCAAGUCGAACGGCAGCACAGAAGAGCUUGCUCUUUGGGUGGCGAGUGGCGGACGGGUGAGUAAUGUCUGGGAAACUGCCCGAUGGAGGGGGAUAACUACUGGAAACGGUAGCUAAUACCGCAUAACGUCGCAAGACCAAAGUGGGGGACCUUCGGGCCUCACACCAUCGGAUGUGCCCAGAUGGGAUUAGCUAGUAGGUGGGGUAACGGCUCACCUAGGCGACGAUCCCUAGCUGGUCUGAGAGGAUGACCAGCCACACUGGAACUGAGACACGGUCCAGACUCCUACGGGAGGCAGCAGUGGGGAAUAUUGCACAAUGGGCGCAAGCCUGAUGCAGCCAUGCCGCGUGUAUGAAGAAGGCCUUCGGGUUGUAAAGUACUUUCAGCGGGGAGGAAGGCGACGCGGUUAAUAGCCGCGUCGA